GGGCCCGUGGCUCAGUCAGGCUAGAGCGGCGGACUCUUAAUCCGUAGGUCGCGGGUUCAAUUCCCGUCGGGCCCGCCA
This 78-nucleotide transfer RNA is filed under the name Candidatus Bathyarchaeota archaeon. RNAcentral's name for it is "tRNA-Lys". It matches the Rfam family "tRNA". From Rfam's summary of the family: Transfer RNA (tRNA) molecules are approximately 80 nucleotides in length. RNAcentral also lists the same sequence under 4 other names. The record is from RNAcentral. Lineage: Archaea; Thermoproteati; Candidatus Bathyarchaeota.